GACACGACUCUCGGCAAUGGAUAUCUCGGCUCUC
RNAcentral lists this ribosomal RNA (34 nucleotides) under Angraecum sedifolium. Its description in RNAcentral is "partial 5.8S ribosomal RNA". The record is from RNAcentral. Lineage: Eukaryota; Viridiplantae; Streptophyta; Magnoliopsida; Asparagales; Orchidaceae.